GACGCGAUGGCCGAGUGGUUAAGGCGGUAGACUCGAAAAAAUUAAUUAAAAAAUUUUUAUUUCUUGAAAUCUACUUCCCUUUGGGAGCGCAGGUUCAAAUCCUGCUCGCGUCG
Anaeramoeba ignava is the source of this 113-nucleotide non-coding RNA. NCBI's taxonomy places the organism in Eukaryota, Anaeramoebidae. The record is from the annotation of a GenBank genome assembly.